UCGGGAAUUUUGCUCAAUGGGCGCAAGCCUGAAGCAGCAACGCCGCGUGGGGGAUGACGGCCUUCGGGUUGUAAACCUCUUUUCCAGGGGACGAUAAUGACGGUACCCGGGGAAUAAGUCACGGCUAACUACGUGCCAGCAGCCGCGGUAAUACGUAGGUGACGAGCGUUGUCCGGAUUUACUGGGCGUAAAGAGCGCGCAGGCGGUCGUAUAAGUCGAGUGUGAAAUCCCCCGGCUCAACUGGGGAACGUCGCUCGAUACUGUUCGACUUGAAGGCGGGAGAGGGAAGCGGAAUUCCCGGUGUAGUGGUGAAAUGCGUAGAUAUCGGGAGGAACACCAGUGGCGAAGGCGGCUUUCUGGCCCGUUCUUGACGCUGAGGCGCGAAAGCUAGGGUAGCAAACGGG
RNAcentral lists this ribosomal RNA (404 nucleotides) under uncultured bacterium. RNAcentral describes it as "bacterial SSU rRNA". It matches the Rfam family "Bacterial small subunit ribosomal RNA", at positions 355 to 776 of the family's 1533-position model. The record is from RNAcentral.